ACUCCUACGGGAGGCAGCAGUGGGGAAUAUUGCACAAUAGGCGCAAGCCUGAUGCAGCCAUGCCGCGUGUGUGAAAGAAGGCCUUCGGGUUGUAAAGCACUUUCAGUUGUGAGGAAAGGUUAGUCGCUAAUAUCGGCUAGCUGUGACGUUAGCAACAGAAGAAGCACCGGCUAACUCCGUGCCAGCAGCCGCGGUAAUACGGAGGGUGCGAGCGUUAAUCGGAAUUACUGGGCGUAAAGCGCGUGUAGGUGGCUUGUUAAGCCAGAUGUGAAAGCCCGGGCUCAACCUGGGAACUGCAUUUGGAACUGGCAGGCUAGAGUUUUGUAGAGGGUGGUAGAAUUUCAGGUGUAGCGGUGAAAUGCGUAGAGAUCUGAAGGAAUACCAGUGGCGAAGGCGGCCCCUGGACAAAGACUGACGCUCAGAAUGCGAAAGCGUGGGGAGCAAACAGGAUUAGAUACCCUGGUAGACUGUC
This 472-nucleotide ribosomal RNA is filed under the name uncultured bacterium. RNAcentral's name for it is "bacterial SSU rRNA". It matches the Rfam family "Bacterial small subunit ribosomal RNA", at positions 335 to 799 of the family's 1533-position model. The record is from RNAcentral.